Macaca mulatta (Rhesus monkey) is the source of this 88-nucleotide non-coding RNA. The record is from Rfam. Lineage: Eukaryota; Metazoa; Chordata; Mammalia; Primates; Cercopithecidae.
AUGUGACUUGUGGGCUUCCCUUUGUCAUCCUUUGCCUAGGGCUCUGAGCAGGGCAGGGACAGCAAAGGGGUGCUCAGUUGUCACUUCC